Molecule: unclassified non-coding RNA, 193 nt
Filed under: uncultured Ascomycota
Lineage: Eukaryota; Fungi; Ascomycota
Description: sequence contains ITS1
Source: RNAcentral
CACUCAGUAGCCACAACUACUGUCUGGGGGGCUGUCAGCCUGUAUAGUCUAGCGACUGAGGAGCAGCAGGUCCCCUGGUGUUAUACCCUUGUCUUUUGCGCACCCAUGUUUCCUCGGCGGGCCUGCCCGCCGACAGGACAACUCUAUAACCCUUUUUAUUUAUUCCAUCAGCGUCUGAAAUAUUGAAUUAUUA